GAUGAACGCUGACAGAAUGCUUAACACAUGCAAGUCAACUUGAACUUCGCUUUGUGUGGCGGACGGGUGAGUAACGCGUAAAGAACUUGCCUCACAGAUAGAGACAACAUUUGGAAACGAAUGCUAAUACCUGAUAUUAUGAUUUUAGGGCAUCUUAGGAUUAUGAAAGCUAUAUGCGCUGUGAGAGAGCUUUGUGUCCCAUUAGCUAGUUGGAGAGAUAACGGCUCACCAAGGCGAUGAUGGGUAGCCGGCCUGAGAGAGUGAUCGGCCACAAGGGGACUGAGACACGGCCCUUACUCCUACGGGAGACAGCAGUGGGGAAUAUAGGACAAUGUACCAAGAGACUGAUCCAGCGAUACUGUGUGCGCGAUGAAGUUCUUCGGAAAGUAAAGUGCUUUCUGUUUGGAAGAGAAAAAUGACGGGAUCCACAGAAGAAGAGACAGCUAAAUACGUGCCAGCAGCCCCGGUAAUACACGUGUCACGAGCGUUAUCCGGAGUUUUUUGGGCGUAAAGCGCGUCUAGGGGGGUUAUGUAAAAACUGAGGUGAAAAAAGCAGGCUCUACUUUUGUAUUGCGCUUGGAAACUGUGUAACUAGAGUACUGGGGAGGUAAACGGGGACUCCAAGUGUGGAGGGUGAAAAUCUCAGAUAUUUUGUAGGAAUGUCCCAUAUGGAAGCCCGCUCUAUCCUGCACAUACUGACACUAAAAGAGCGCAAGAGCGUGGUGAGCAAACGAUAUUAUACCCUUGUGUAUCAAAGGCGAAUUCCCCAAAUGGGGCGGCCCCGGGGGGCCCCACUAAGUUCAAGGGGCCCCCCCGCGGGCCCCAAUUUUCCCCUAGGGGGGGGCUGAGAGCAGGGUCGCGGGGCCCCCCUUUUAAAAGGUGGGGGCCGGGGAAACCCCUCUGCUUUUUCCUAAUUAAACCCCCGUGUCGCAAAUUCUGCUUUUUUUUUUUUGUAUAAAAC
Molecule: ribosomal RNA, 961 nt
Filed under: Parahaemophilus parainfluenzae
Lineage: Bacteria; Pseudomonadati; Pseudomonadota; Gammaproteobacteria; Pasteurellales; Pasteurellaceae
Description: Haemophilus parainfluenzae partial 16S ribosomal RNA
Rfam family: Bacterial small subunit ribosomal RNA (bases 1-837)
Source: RNAcentral